UACGUAGGGGGCUAGCGUUGUCCGGAAUCAUUGGGCGUAAAGAGCGUGUAGGCGGUCCGGUAAGUCCGUUGUGAAAGUCAGGGGCUCAACCCUUGAAUGCCGGCGGAUACUGUCGGGCUAGAGUCCGGAAGUGGCGAGUGGAAUUCCCGGUGUAGCGGUGAAAUGCGCAGAUAUCGGGAGGAACACCGGUGGCGAAGGCGGUUCUCUGGGCCUGUACUGACGCUGAGGAGCGAAAGCGUGGGGAGCGAACAGG
Molecule: ribosomal RNA, 253 nt
Filed under: uncultured bacterium
Lineage: Bacteria
Description: partial 16S ribosomal RNA
Rfam family: Bacterial small subunit ribosomal RNA
Source: RNAcentral